This 1347-nucleotide ribosomal RNA is filed under the name Arthrobacter stackebrandtii. RNAcentral describes it as "bacterial SSU rRNA". It matches the Rfam family "Bacterial small subunit ribosomal RNA", at positions 80 to 1436 of the family's 1533-position model. The record is from RNAcentral. Lineage: Bacteria; Bacillati; Actinomycetota; Actinomycetes; Micrococcales; Micrococcaceae.
UUGCUGGGUGGAUUAGUGGCGAACGGGUGAGUAACACGUGAGUAACCUGCCCCCGACUCUGGGAUAAGCCCGGGAAACUGGGUCUAAUACCGGAUAUGACCUCGCACCGCAUGGUGCGGGGUGGAAAGAUUUAUCGGUGGGGGAUGGACUCGCGGCCUAUCAGCUUGUUGGUGAGGUAAUGGCUCACCAAGGCGACGACGGGUAGCCGGCCUGAGAGGGUGACCGGCCACACUGGGACUGAGACACGGCCCAGACUCCUACGGGAGGCAGCAGUGGGGAAUAUUGCACAAUGGGCGCAAGCCUGAUGCAGCGACGCCGCGUGAGGGAUGACGGCCUUCGGGUUGUAAACCUCUUUCAGUAGGGAAGAAGCGAAAGUGACGGUACCUGCAGAAGAAGCGCCGGCUAACUACGUGCCAGCAGCCGCGGUAAUACGUAGGGCGCAAGCGUUAUCCGGAUUUAUUGGGCGUAAAGAGCUCGUAGGCGGUUUGUCGCGUCUGCCGUGAAAGUCCGAGGCUCAACCUCGGAUCUGCGGUGGGUACGGGCAGACUAGAGUGAUGUAGGGGAGACUGGAAUUCCUGGUGUAGCGGUGAAAUGCGCAGAUAUCAGGAGGAACACCGAUGGCGAAGGCAGGUCUCUGGGCAUUUACUGACGCUGAGGAGCGAAAGCAUGGGGAGCGAACAGGAUUAGAUACCCUGGUAGUCCAUGCCGUAAACGUUGGGCACUAGGUGUGGGGGGACAUUCCACGUUUUCCGCGCCGUAGCUAACGCAUUAAGUGCCCCGCCUGGGGNAGUACGGCCGCAAGGCUAAAACUCAAAGGAAUUGACGGGGGCCCGCACAAGCGGCNGGAGCAUGCGGAUUAAUUCGAUGCAACGCGAAGAACCUUACCAAGGCUUGACAUGUGCCAGACCGCUCCAGAGAUGGGGUUUCCCUUCGGGGCUGGUUCACAGGUGGUGCAUGGUUGUCGUCAGCUCGUGUCGUGAGAUGUUGGGUUAAGUCCCGCAACGAGCGCAACCCUCGUUCCAUGUUGCCAGCACGUAGUGGUGGGGACUCAUGGGAGACUGCCGGGGUCAACUCGGAGGAAGGUGGGGAUGACGUCAAAUCAUCAUGCCCCUUAUGUCUUGGGCUUCACGCAUGCUACAAUGGCCGGUACAAUGGGUUGCGAUACUGUGAGGUGGAGCUAAUCCCUAAAAGCCGGUCUCAGUUCGGAUUGGGGUCUGCAACUCGACCCCAUGAAGUCGGAGUCGCUAGUAAUCGCAGAUCAGCAACGCUGCGGUGAAUACGUUCCCGGGCCUUGUACACACCGCCCGUCAAGUCACGAAAGUUGGUAACACCCGAAGCCGAUGGCCU